Molecule: unclassified non-coding RNA, 207 nt
Filed under: Glomus sp.
Lineage: Eukaryota; Fungi; Glomeromycota; Glomeromycetes; Glomerales; Glomeraceae
Description: partial contains 5.8S ribosomal RNA and internal transcribed spacer 2
Rfam family: 5.8S ribosomal RNA (bases 1-65)
Source: RNAcentral
GUGAAUCAUCAAAUCUUUGAACGCAAAUUGCACUCUCUUCGGAGAGAAUGCCUGUUUGAGGGUCAGCCUAAAAAAAAUCGACAUAGUCGCUGUUUCGCGGUGACAUUCGUCGGAAAUUGGGUCAUCUUAAACCUUUUGGUUUUAGGCGGCUAAAAUUUUUAUUUCGGAUCCCAGGACAGUUCUUAAGUUGUACUAAUAGGUUUAAGG